AGAGUUUGAUCAUGGCUCAGGACGAACGCUGGCGGCGUGCUUAACACAUGCAAGUCGAACGGAAAGGCCCCUUCGGGGGUGCUCGAGUGGCGAACGGGUGAGUAACACGUGGGUGAUCUGCCCUGCACUUUGGGAUAAGCCUGGGAAACUGGGUCUAAUACCGGAUAGGACCACGGUCUGCAUGGGCUGUGGUGGAAAGCUUUUGCGGUGUGGGAUGGGCCCGCGGCCUAUCAGCUUGUUGGUGGGGUGAUGGCCCACCAAGGCGACGACGGGUAGCCGGCCUGAGAGGGUGUCCGGCCACACUGGGACUGAGAUACGGCCCAGACUCCUACGGGAGGCAGCAGUGGGGAAUAUUGCACAAUGGGCGCAAGCCUGAUGCAGCGACGCCGCGUGAGGGAUGACGGCCUUCGGGUUGUAAACCUCUUUCAAUGCCGACGAAGCGCAAGUGACAGUAGGCGUAGAAGAAGCACCGGCCUACUACGUGCCAGCAGCCGCGGUA
Molecule: ribosomal RNA, 499 nt
Filed under: uncultured Actinomycetes bacterium
Lineage: Bacteria; Bacillati; Actinomycetota; Actinomycetes
Description: bacterial SSU rRNA
Rfam family: Bacterial small subunit ribosomal RNA
Source: RNAcentral